UACGGAGGGGGCGAGCGUUAUUCGGAAUUAUUGGGCGUAAAGGGCGCGUAGGCGGCUUGAUGUGUCAAAGGUGAAAUCCCUCGGCUCAACUGAGGAACUGCCUUUGAAACUGUCUGGCUUGAGGCCGGGAGAGGGUAGCGGAAUUCCCAGUGUAGCGGUGAAAUGCGUAGAUAUUGGGAGGAACACCAGUGGCGAAGGCAGCCUUCUGGGCCAACACUGACGCUCAUGCACGAAAGCGUGGGGAGCAAACAGG
This 253-nucleotide ribosomal RNA is filed under the name uncultured bacterium. Its description in RNAcentral is "partial 16S ribosomal RNA". It matches the Rfam family "Bacterial small subunit ribosomal RNA", at positions 524 to 776 of the family's 1533-position model. The record is from RNAcentral.